Molecule: small nucleolar RNA, 64 nt
Organism: Dryobates pubescens (Downy woodpecker)
Lineage: Eukaryota; Metazoa; Chordata; Aves; Piciformes; Picidae
Product: small nucleolar RNA SNORD98
Exons: 1
Source: RefSeq, a predicted model, not a curated record
GAGUGAUGAUGUUUUAAACCUAUUCCAUUUCUGAACUAUCCUGUGGAAAAAAAUAACUGAACUC